This 234-nucleotide ribosomal RNA is filed under the name uncultured bacterium. RNAcentral's name for it is "partial 16S ribosomal RNA". It matches the Rfam family "Bacterial small subunit ribosomal RNA", at positions 116 to 334 of the family's 1533-position model. The record is from RNAcentral.
CGUGGGUAACCUGCCCUUUAAACUGGGAUAACUUCGCGAAAGCGAUGCUAAUACCGGAUAUUGUCUCUGGGACUGUGGUUUUGGAGAUGAAAGGUGACCUCUUCAUGAAAGUUGCCGUUUAAGGAUGGGCUCGCGUACCAUUAGCUAGUUGGUGGGGUAAUGGCCCACCAAGGCGACGAUGGUUAGCUGGUCUGAGAGGAUGAUCAGCCACACUGGAACUGGAACACGGUCCAG